AGCGCAGGCGGGAGAACAAGUUGGAAGUGAAAUCCAUGGGCUCAACCCAUGAACUGCUUUCAAAACCGUUUUUCUUGAGUAGUGCAGAGGUAGGCGGAAUUCCCGGUGUAGCGGUGGAAUGCGUAGAUAUCGGGAGGAACACCAGUGGCGAAGGCGGCCUACUGGGCACCAACUGACGCUGAGGCUCGAAAGUGUGGGUAGCAAACA
This 207-nucleotide ribosomal RNA is filed under the name uncultured bacterium. RNAcentral describes it as "partial 16S ribosomal RNA". It matches the Rfam family "Bacterial small subunit ribosomal RNA", at positions 568 to 774 of the family's 1533-position model. The record is from RNAcentral.